This is a long non-coding RNA of Xiphophorus hellerii (green swordtail), 169 nucleotides long. RefSeq lists it as uncharacterized. The transcript is spliced from 3 exons. The record is from RefSeq and is a predicted model, not a curated record. Lineage: Eukaryota; Metazoa; Chordata; Actinopteri; Cyprinodontiformes; Poeciliidae.
UUAUUACAAAACAUGCUGCACUGCAAAAACACAAAGUAUUACCAAGAAUUUUUGGUCUAGCUUCUACAGCAAAUAUCUUAGUACAUUUGAAAUAAGACAAAACUGACUUACAACUUACAAGUAACUUUUCAGCAAAAUAUAGGAGUUUGUUUUAAGUCAAUAAUUCCUU